Molecule: ribosomal RNA, 253 nt
Filed under: uncultured bacterium
Lineage: Bacteria
Description: partial 16S ribosomal RNA
Rfam family: Bacterial small subunit ribosomal RNA
Source: RNAcentral
UACAGGGGGUGCAAACGUUGCUCGGAAUCAUUGGGCGUAAAGCGCACGUAGGCGGUCUGUUAUGUCGGAUGUGAAAGCCCUUGGCUUAACUGAGGAAGUGCAUCCGAAACUGGCAGGCUAGAGUACUAAAGAGGGUCGCGGAAUUCCCGGUGUAGAGGUGAAAUGCGUAGAGAUCCGGAGGAACACCAGUGGCGAAGGCGACACGCUGGGCCGUACCUGACGCUAAAACGCGACAGCAUGGGGAGCGAACGGG